AUGUUUAUCAACUUUGCAGUCGGUAUUAACUCCAAAAAUGAUGAUUCCAUUUCCAUCUGGUUUAAUAGACACUCCACCUCAAAUGACAUACAUCAUCAAAUGAAGCAGCUGACCACAUCAUGGUAUCACCAUUUAUUUAGUAGGUUUGCAAUUGAACUUGAGGAGCAUCACCUUAGAAAUGUGAACGGAACCAGAUACAUUCCAACCCAAAACAGAAGGGAAGUGAUACAGGACGCUUGGUUAACAGAACAUGUUGCAUGGACUGAGACCCUGCUCACUUUCCUGCCCUCUGGGAACAGUCACUGCUCCUGGGAACUCUACCCCUACCCUGAUUUCAUUGUAGCUGAUGAGAAAGAAGAACAAAUGGAAACUAAAACAAAUCAGAUUAUGCUCCAGGAGACAAAGAAACUUGCAACCGUAAGUAGCAUCUUCGAAGGAUCGUUCUAA
RNAcentral lists this long non-coding RNA (447 nucleotides) under Sus scrofa (pig). Its description in RNAcentral is "lncRNA (ENSSSCG00045016984.1)". The record is from RNAcentral. Lineage: Eukaryota; Metazoa; Chordata; Mammalia; Artiodactyla; Suidae.